GACGAACGCUGGCGGCGUGCUUAACACAUGCAAGUCGAACGGAAAGGCCCUGCUUUUGUGGUGUGCUCGAGUGGCGAACGGGUGAGUAACACGUGAGUAACCUGCCCUUGACUUUGGGAUAACUUCAGGAAACUGGGGCUAAUACCGGAUAGGAGCUCCUGCUGCAUGGUGGGGGUUGGAAAGUUUCGGCGGUUGGGGAUGGACUCGCGGCUUAUCAGCUUGUUGGUGGGGUAGUGGCUUACCAAGGCUUUGACGGGUAGCCGGCCUGAGAGGGUGACCGGCCACAUUGGGAAUGAGAUACGGCCCAGACUCCUACGGGAGGCAGCAGUGGGGAAUAGUGCACAAUGGGCGGAAGCCUGAUGCAGCAACGCCGCGUGCGGGAUGACGGCCUUCGGGUUGUAAACCGCUUUCGCCUGGGACGAAGCGUGAGUGACGGUAAUGGGUAAAGAAGCACCGGCUAACUACGUG
RNAcentral lists this ribosomal RNA (468 nucleotides) under uncultured bacterium. Its description in RNAcentral is "partial 16S ribosomal RNA". It matches the Rfam family "Bacterial small subunit ribosomal RNA", at positions 28 to 507 of the family's 1533-position model. The record is from RNAcentral.